This 431-nucleotide ribosomal RNA is filed under the name uncultured bacterium. RNAcentral describes it as "partial 16S ribosomal RNA". It matches the Rfam family "Bacterial small subunit ribosomal RNA", at positions 29 to 507 of the family's 1533-position model. The record is from RNAcentral.
AACGAACGCUGGCGGCAGGCCUAACACAUGCAAGUCGGGCGCCCUUUCGGGGGAGCGGCGGACGGGUGAGUAACGCGUGGGAAUAUGCCCUUCUCUACGGAAUAGCCUCGGGAAACUGAGAGUAAUACCGUAUACGCCCUUUGGGGGAAAGAUUUAUCGGGGAAGGAUUAGCCCGCGUUGGAUUAGGUAGUUGGUGGGGUAAUGGCCUACCAAGCGGACGAUCCAUAGCUGGUUUGAGAGGAUGAUCAGCCACACUGGGACUGGGACACGGCCCAGACUCCUACGGGAGGCAGCAGUGGGGAAUCCUAGACAAUGGGGGCAAUCCUGAUCUAGCCAGGCCGCGUGAGUGAUGAAGUCCUUAGGGUUGUAAAGCUCUUUCAGCUGGGAAGAUAAUGACGGUACCAGCAGAAGAAGCCCCGGCUAACUCCGUG